UACGUAGGGUGCGAGCGUUAAUCGGAAUUACUGGGCGUAAAGCGCACGUAGGCGGCUUUGUAAGUCAGAGGUGAAAGCCUGGAGCUCAACUCCAGAACUGCCUUUGAGACUGCAUCGCUUGAAUCCAGGAGAGGGGGGUGGAAUUCCGCGUGUAGCAGUGAAAUGCGUAGAGAUGUGGAGGAACACCGAUGGCGAAGGCAGCCCCCUGGGUCAAGACUGACGCUCAUGCACGAAAGCGUGGGGAGCAAACAGG
RNAcentral lists this ribosomal RNA (253 nucleotides) under uncultured bacterium. Its description in RNAcentral is "partial 16S ribosomal RNA". It matches the Rfam family "Bacterial small subunit ribosomal RNA", at positions 524 to 776 of the family's 1533-position model. The record is from RNAcentral.